This 468-nucleotide ribosomal RNA is filed under the name uncultured bacterium. Its description in RNAcentral is "partial 16S ribosomal RNA". It matches the Rfam family "Bacterial small subunit ribosomal RNA", at positions 28 to 507 of the family's 1533-position model. The record is from RNAcentral.
GACGAACGCUGGCGGCGUGCUUAACACAUGCAAGUCGAACGGUGAUGCUCCAGCUUGCUGGCGUGGAUCAGUGGCGAACGGGUGUGUAACACGUGAGCAACCUGCCCCAGACUCUGGAAUAAGCGCUGGAAACGGCGUCUAAUACUGGAUACGAAACUGGCCCGCAUGGGCAUGGUUUGGAAAGUUUUUCGGUUUGGGAUGGGCUCGCGGCCUAUCAGCUUGUUGGUGAGGUAAUGGCUCACCAAGGCGACGACGGGUAGCCGGCCUGAGAGGGCGACCGGCCACACUGGGACUGAGACACGGCCCAGACUCCUACGGGAGGCAGCAGUGGGGAAUAUUGCACAAUGGGCGAAAGCCUGAUGCAGCGACGCCGCGUGAGGGAUGACGGCCUUCGGGUUGUAAACCUCUUUCAGCAGGGAAGAAGCGAAAGUGACGGUACCUGCAGAAGAAGCACCGGCUAACUACGUG